Quercus robur (English oak) is the source of this 681-nucleotide long non-coding RNA. RefSeq lists it as uncharacterized. The transcript is spliced from 2 exons. Lineage: Eukaryota; Viridiplantae; Streptophyta; Magnoliopsida; Fagales; Fagaceae. The record is from RefSeq and is a predicted model, not a curated record.
AAAACAACAACAGGCAUUUUCCCUUUUUUUGAAAAUCAAAAUUUUCUCUUCAUAUCUGCUUUCUCUCGCACCGCUCCCUCUCCUCCAAAUCUCCAUAGCCACUGCCUAGCAUCGUUGCCGGAGCUUCGCCGUCGGACAUAAUCAAUUCCAAAAAGAUCAGCCUUUAUCUGGUCAGAAAACCCCAAAAUCAUCUCUUUUUCUAGUUGCUUCCAACCCCCAAAGCCGGAAGCUUUCUUGCCGCUUCCAACAUCUGAUAUCGCAAGAAAGGAAGAGAAAGUUCCAAGCUUCACCAAGAAGAGAGUUGGGAGGUCUGAAUGGAGGAGGGCAUUCUUUGUUGGUUUGAACAGAGUUAUAUGUCGACUACAAGAACACAUGCAAAAGAUUGAUAAAGAUAGAGUUGAUCAAGAUGAGUUAAUUGUACACCACAAGGAGGAAAAAAGGUUGAGGAUUGCAUUUUUGUUAUAGUGGGUUGCAUUUGUAAUUAUUGUGAAUCUUUUGAUAUGGUGCAAUGGGGUUAGAGUGGAGCACAAAAAGAUUUUGCCAAAAGUUUAGCUAGUUUGGAUCAAAUUUACAUUUUAAUAUUAUUGUUAUGAUUUGUAAUGUACUUUGUCACCCAUUUGAUGGAUUGUCUGUUUUGAAAGAUUAAAAUAAAUAAAUAAGCAUGGCACUUUGUUCAUGAAA